CAUAUCCUAGUUGGUGAUUUAGCUAACUUAAAGCUAACUUAGAUAGUUUACUUAAAAAAAUACUAAUACCUAAGUUACUAAGCCAGUUACUGAUACUGAAAACAUUAUUGUUCUGCAAAAUGGCAUACAAACUCAAAAUAUCUGGAAGUACUAUUAAGAUAAUGUUACAGUAAUGCAACUAGCUGGCUGUCAUCUAUCUGUCAUUUAGCUGUAAGCUAGUGUUAUAACUUAUUGUUUAGGGGUUUGUUAGCAUAGUUGUUGCUAGCAUGGCAGCUGGACUAUAUUUAGCAAAAUUUGCUGUCAGAUUGAAUGGCAGUGCAGUUUUAUACAGUCUAGGGUGCAGUUACGUUCGUAGUUUUUGAAAUGGCAUCAAAUAAGGUUACUUGAUCUCACGAAUUUAACAUAACAAAUGCUAGCUAACAAGCACAGCAAAAUGUGAAUUGUCUUUGUUCUCAGAGAACUCUAUGUUAAAAAGAAGGCCUGGCUGUUUUGAGGAACAAGUCGACCUCGUAGGAUCACAGUGUUUCUUCUUCAAGCUGCACAGGAGUGCUCUGCUGGAAUGCUGCUAAGCUGCAGAUGUACCAGCCAAAUUACUCCAGUGGGGAAUUACCAGGCCAUAAAUCCAGACGUCAGGAGGAUGGCUGUAACCUAUUUCACGAUGGCUGCUGUACUACUGCCCCUCCUGGUGUGAACCUGCUUAAGUUCCUUGUCGAAGCCCAGUGAGUCAGUCUGGGUGAGUGAUUGCCAAAGAGGAGAAAAGCGUUUUAUGAAAGGCACAGAGGAGCUCAUGGCAGUUUUACGCCCUCCACCUUCAGGAAACAGAUAAUUACAGGCUGCAUUAUGUGCUGUAGUAUCAUGUCAGAAAGUAUAGUGACUGCACAGGACUGCUGAAUGCGCUAUUACAGCAGUUGUUCCAAUUGUAAAACGAUGAUUAUACUCUAUGAUCCGUUUAAUGACAGAUAUGGGGAUUUUUUAUUUAUUUCUUUUUUUUUUUGCUCAGCUGGUAUUUAGCACAUAUCUCAGUGUGGUGCUUUUAAACACAUCUCACAAUUUAAGGGUGAAGGAACAAAAAUUUGGAACUAGUUUAGAGAAAAUGGCUUAAUAGGAAUCUCACCGGGUUAUUUUCAAGUAUAAGCCCAAACUUACAGAUCUGUCACAGCUUUAAUUUAGUGACCUCCCAUAGUGUAUUUGUUCUUUUUAUUUAUUAUUAUUAUUUUUCUUACUUUUUUUGCUUUCAGGAUAAAAAAAAAUAAUUAUUGAGGAAAUAGUCCUUACUUUUCGAGGGCUGAUUGAAGGUCAUUCAAACACGAGUACCUGUGCUGUGGAGAUUAAACGGCUUGGUAUUAAGAGUCUUCAUUUCAAGUCAUUUGAGGUCAUAUCUGGCAUGUCACAGAGACUGUCGCCUAAACAUCCUCUUUGAUGUCCUUAACCAAGUCUAUUUGUUGUAUGCCUUAAUUGUAACCACAGCUUUAAUAAAGUCCAAACCGAGUGAAAAAA
Micropterus salmoides (largemouth bass) is the source of this 1497-nucleotide long non-coding RNA. RefSeq lists it as uncharacterized. Lineage: Eukaryota; Metazoa; Chordata; Actinopteri; Centrarchiformes; Centrarchidae. The transcript has 4 exons. The record is from RefSeq and is a predicted model, not a curated record.